RNAcentral lists this ribosomal RNA (421 nucleotides) under uncultured archaeon. RNAcentral's name for it is "partial 16S ribosomal RNA". It matches the Rfam family "Archaeal small subunit ribosomal RNA", at positions 323 to 746 of the family's 1478-position model. The record is from RNAcentral.
CUACGGGGGGCAGCAGUUAGGAAUAAUCUACAAUGCGCGCAAGCGUGAUAGUUUGAGCCAGAGUGCUUCUCAAUCGAGAAGCUUUUGCCAAAUUUAAAAAGUUUGGCGAAUAAGGACUGGGUAAGACGAGUGCCAGCCGCCGCGGUAAUACUCGCGGUCCAAGUCGCAGCCAUUUUUAUUGGGUCUAAAACAUCCGUAGCUUGCUUGAUAAGUUUCUUGUGAAAUUCUAUGUCUCAAACAUGGAGCGUGCAAGAAGUACUGUCAAGCUCGAGACUGGUAGACGUAAGAAGUACGUUCAGAGUAGCGGUAAAAUGUGUUAAUCCUGGACGGACUCACAACAGCGAAGGCAUCUUACGAGGACAGUUCUGACAGUAAGGGAUGAAGGCUAGGGGCGCAAAACGGAUUAGAUACCCUCGUAGUC